Molecule: ribosomal RNA, 388 nt
Filed under: Hymenobacter sp. R-39159
Lineage: Bacteria; Pseudomonadati; Bacteroidota; Cytophagia; Cytophagales; Hymenobacteraceae
Description: bacterial SSU rRNA
Rfam family: Bacterial small subunit ribosomal RNA
Source: RNAcentral
AUAGUGGCGCACGGGUGCGUAACGCGUAACCAACCUACCCGAAUCUGGGGGAUAGCCCGCCGAAAGGCGGAUUAAUACCGCAUAAAACCACAGCCUGGCAUCAGGUAAUGGUUAAAGAUUUAUUGGAUUCGGAUGGGGUUGCGUGCCAUUAGCUAGUUGGAGAGGUAACGGCUCACCAAGGCGACGAUGGCUAGGGGAGCUGAGAGGCUGGUCCCCCACACGGGCACUGAGAUACGGGCCCGACUCCUACGGGAGGCAGCAGUAGGGAAUAUUGGGCAAUGGACGAGAGUCUGACCCAGCCAUGCCGCGUGCAGGAUGAAGGCUUUCUGAGUCGUAAACUGCUUUUAUCAGGGAAGAAAAAAGGGGAUGCGUCCUCUACUGACGGUAC